AAUAACUUCGGGAAACCGAGGCUAAUACCGCAUAAUACCCACGGGUCAAAGGAGCAAUUCGCUUGAGGAGGGGGUCGCGGCCGAUUAGUUAGUUGGCGGGGUAAUGGCCCCACCAAGACGGUGAUCGGUAUCCGGCCUGAGAGGGCGCACGGACACACUGGAACUGAAACACGGUCCAGACUCCUACGGGAGGCAGCAGUGGGGAAUUUUGCGCAAUGGGGGAAACCCUGACGCAGCAACGCCGCGUGGAGGAUGAAGUCUCUUGGGACGUAAACUCCUUUCGAUCGGGACGAUUAUGACGGUACCGGAAGAAGAAGCCCCGGCUAACUUCGUG
This 334-nucleotide ribosomal RNA is filed under the name uncultured bacterium. Its description in RNAcentral is "bacterial SSU rRNA". It matches the Rfam family "Bacterial small subunit ribosomal RNA", at positions 142 to 507 of the family's 1533-position model. The record is from RNAcentral.